Molecule: long non-coding RNA, 498 nt
Filed under: Androctonus crassicauda
Lineage: Eukaryota; Metazoa; Arthropoda; Arachnida; Scorpiones; Buthidae
Source: RNAcentral
AACAAUUUGUUUUCUUGUAAAAGUAAAGAUUGAUUAUUCUUUUAUAAGGCUUUCCAAUAAUUCAUAUUGUAUUUGUUUUUAAUAAGUUUAUAAUACAUUCCAAUUUCAUUCAAAUGUAUUAUUAAACUUACAUUAUACAAAAGAUAUGCUGAUAAAUGAGGAAAACAUAUAAUGCAUAUAUGUGUUCUUUCAUUUUCAUUAACCAUUUUCUUCUAUUCUAUAAUAAAAAGGGUCAGUGGUAUCCAGAAAUAUUUUAAAAAUAUUCUAAUUCCAAAAUCCAUAAUUUCUUUUAUAUUUGUUAUUUUCUUUUUUUAUGACUAUUUGCCACUUUUCAACCUACCACUUUUUAGCCUACUUUCUGAAGGAAAUGGGGGUUAUAAAAUUGGGCCAAUGUGUUCCCCUCUAAUAACUUUUGAAUUAAUUAGCAGAUAUUCAUGAAAUUUAUAAUUAUGUUCUCCCAUUAAAAGACACCUGAUGCUGCAUCCUUUAAUUCUGCAG